CCUANGGGUGGCAGCAGUGAGGAAUAUUGGUCAAUGGACGUAAGUCUGAACCAGCCAUCCCGCGUGCAGGAAGAAGGCGCUAUGCGUUGUAAACUGCUUUUCUGAGGGAAGAAAACCCCCGACAUGUCGGGGCUUGCCGGUACCUUGGGAAUAAGCAUCGGCUAACUCCGUGCCAGCAGCCGCGGUAAUACGGAGGAUGCGAGCGUUAUCCGGAUUCAUUGGGUUUAAAGGGUGCGUAGGCGGAUUUAUAAGUCAGUGGUGAAAACCUGCAGCUUAACUGUAGAACUGCCAUUGAUACUAUAGGUCUUGAAUAUCGUGGAGGUAAGCGGAAUAUGUCAUGUAGCGGUGAAAUGCUUAGAUAUGACAUAGAACACCAAUUGCGAAGGCAGCUUACUACACGAUCAUUGACACUGAGGCACGAAAGCGUGGGGAGCAAACAGGAUUAGAUACCCUUNUANUC
This 460-nucleotide ribosomal RNA is filed under the name uncultured bacterium. Its description in RNAcentral is "bacterial SSU rRNA". It matches the Rfam family "Bacterial small subunit ribosomal RNA", at positions 338 to 795 of the family's 1533-position model. The record is from RNAcentral.